UACGUAGGGUGCGAGCGUUAAUCGGAGUUACUGGGCGUAAAGGGCGCGUAGGCGGUGAGAUGAGUGUGAUGUGAAAGCCCCGGGCUUAACCUGGGAAGCGCAUCGCAAACGAUCUGACUGGAGUAGAGAAGAGGGUGGCGGAAUUUCCGGUGUAGCGGUGAAAUGCGUAGAGAUCGGAAGGAACGUCAAUGGCGAAGGCAGCCACCUGGUCUCAUACUGACGCUGAGGCGCGAAAGCGUGGGGAGCGAACAGG
This 253-nucleotide ribosomal RNA is filed under the name uncultured bacterium. RNAcentral describes it as "partial 16S ribosomal RNA". It matches the Rfam family "Bacterial small subunit ribosomal RNA", at positions 524 to 776 of the family's 1533-position model. The record is from RNAcentral.